RNAcentral lists this ribosomal RNA (253 nucleotides) under uncultured bacterium. RNAcentral describes it as "partial 16S ribosomal RNA". It matches the Rfam family "Bacterial small subunit ribosomal RNA", at positions 524 to 776 of the family's 1533-position model. The record is from RNAcentral.
GACGGAGGUUGCAAGCGUUAUUCGGAAUUAUUGGGCGUAAAGAGUGUGUAGGCGGCCGGUUAAGUCAGGCGUGAAAGCCCAGGGCUCAACCCUGGAAGUGCGUUUGAAACUGGCUGGCUUGAGUUCGGGAGAGGGAAGCGGAAUUCCGGGUGUAGAGGUGAAAUUCGUAGAUAUCCGGAGGAACAUCGGUGGCGAAGGCGGCUUCCUGGACCGAAACUGACGCUGAGACACGAAAGCGUGGGGAGCAAACAGG